UGCAGUCGAGCGAGAUCUUCGGAUCUAGCGGCGGACGGGUGAGUAACGCGUGGGAACGUGCCCUUUGCUACGGAAUAGUCCCGGGAAACUGGGUUUAAUACCGUAUACGCCCUUCGGGGGAAAGAUUUAUCGGCAAAGGAUCGGCCCGCGUUGGAUUAGGUAGUUGGUGGGGUAAUGGCCUACCAAGCCGACGAUCCAUAGCUGGUUUGAGAGGAUGAUCAGCCACACUGGGACUGAGACACGGCCCAGACUCCUACGGGAGGCAGCAGUGGGGAAUAUUGGGCAAUGGGCGAAAGCCUGAUCCAGCAAUGCCG
This 314-nucleotide ribosomal RNA is filed under the name uncultured bacterium. RNAcentral describes it as "bacterial SSU rRNA". It matches the Rfam family "Bacterial small subunit ribosomal RNA", at positions 56 to 399 of the family's 1533-position model. The record is from RNAcentral.